Molecule: ribosomal RNA, 888 nt
Filed under: uncultured Methanosaeta sp.
Lineage: Archaea; Methanobacteriati; Methanobacteriota; Methanomicrobia; Methanotrichales; Methanotrichaceae
Description: bacterial SSU rRNA
Rfam family: Archaeal small subunit ribosomal RNA
Source: RNAcentral
CAGAGGUUACUGCUAUCGAGAUUCGACUAAGCCAUGCGAGUUGAAUGUUCUUCGUGAACAUGGCGGACUGCUCAGUAACACGUGGACAACCUACCCUUGGGUCCGGCAUAAUCCUGGGAAACUGGGAAUAAUUCCGGAUAGGUCACCGAUGCUGGAAUGCGCGGUGGCCGAAAGCUCCGGCGCCCGAGGAUGGGUCUGCGGCCUAUCAGGGUUGUAGUGGGUGUAACGUACCUACUAGCCUACGACGGGUACGGGUUGUGAGAGCAAGAGCCCGGAGAUGGAUUCUGAGACACGAAUCCAGGCCCUACGGGGUGCAGCAGGCGCGAAAACUUUACAAUGCGGGAAACCGUGAUAAGGGGAUCUCGAGUGCCAGCAUAUAAUGUUGGCUGUCCAGAUGCCUAAAAAGCAUCUGUUAGCAAGGGCCGGGCAAGACCGGUGCCAGCCGCCGCGGUAACACCGGCGGCCCGAGUGGUAACCGCUAUUAUUGGGUCUAAAGGGUCUGUAGCCGGCCAGGUAAGUCCCUUGGGAAAUCUGGCAGCUCAACUGUCAGGCUGCUAGGGGAUACUGUUUGGCUUGGGACCGGGAGAGGUGAGAGGUACCUUGGGGGUAGGGGUGAAAUCUUGUGAUCCUCGAGGGACCACCAGUGGCGAAGGCGUCUCACCAGAACGGGUCCGACGGUAAGGGACGAAAGCUAGGGGCACGAACCGGAUUAGAUACCCGGGUAGUCCUAGCCGUAAACGAUGCUCGCUAGGUGUCAGUCACGGUGCGACCGUGAUUGGUGCCGUAGGGAAGCCGUGAAGCGAGCCACCUGGGAAGUAUGGCCGCAAGGCUGAAACUUAAAGGAAUUGGCGGGGGAGCACUACAWCGGGUGGAGCCUGCGGUUUAUUG